This 493-nucleotide ribosomal RNA is filed under the name uncultured bacterium. Its description in RNAcentral is "partial 16S ribosomal RNA". It matches the Rfam family "Bacterial small subunit ribosomal RNA", at positions 28 to 507 of the family's 1533-position model. The record is from RNAcentral.
GACGAACGCUGGCGGCGUGCCUAACACAUGCAAGUUGAGCGACGAACCAGGGCUUGCCCUGGGGCAAAGCAGCGAACGGGUGAGUAGCACGUGGGUAACCUACCCCGAUAACCGGGACAACCCGAGGAAACUCGGGCUAAUACCGGAUGUGCUCACUGGACUUCGGUUCAGUGCGUAAAGGAAGCUUCGGCCUCCGUAUCGGGAGGGGCCCGCGGCCCAUUAGUUUGUUGGUGAGGUAACGGCUCACCAAGACCGCGAUGGGUAGCUGGUCUGAGAGGACGAUCAGCCACACUGGGACUGAGACACGGCCCAGACUCCUACGGGAGGCAGCAGUGGGGAAUCUUGCGCAAUGCGCGAAAGCGUGACGCAGCAACGCCGCGUGGGGGAAGAAGGCCUUCGGGUUGUAAACCCCUUUCAGGAGGGACGAAGGUUCGGCGGUGAAUAGCCGUCCGGACUGACGGUACCUCCACAAGAAGCCCCGGCUAACUACGUG